RNAcentral lists this ribosomal RNA (253 nucleotides) under uncultured bacterium. Its description in RNAcentral is "partial 16S ribosomal RNA". It matches the Rfam family "Bacterial small subunit ribosomal RNA", at positions 524 to 776 of the family's 1533-position model. The record is from RNAcentral.
UACGUAGGGUGCGAGCGUUAAUCGGAAUUACUGGGCGUAAAGCGCGCGCAGGCGGUUUUGUAAGCCAGAUGUGAAAUCCCCGGGCUUAACCUGGGAACUGCAUUUGGGACUGCAAGGCUUGAGUGCGGCAGAGGAGACUGGAAUUCCUGGUGUAGCAGUGAAAUGCGUAGAUAUCAGGAGGAAUACCGAUGGCGAAGGCAGGUCUCUGGGCUGACACUGACGCUCAUGCACGAAAGCGUGGGGAGCAAACAGG